Molecule: ribosomal RNA, 396 nt
Filed under: Triticum aestivum (bread wheat)
Lineage: Eukaryota; Viridiplantae; Streptophyta; Magnoliopsida; Poales; Poaceae
Description: partial small subunit ribosomal RNA
Source: RNAcentral
AUGCCCCAACCCCCCCUUUGUUUCUCCGGUUGGUUGGCGAAUUCAUUGCAUGCCCCCGCGAGACCGUGUGCUGCCAAUUCCUUGUAUAUGUACCCACGCCAUGCCAUGCCAUGGGCGCCGCAUACCACCAACGCGCUUUGCACCUCCCAACCGGCCUCCCUCCUCGUCCUCUUCUUCCUCGGCCUCAUCUCUUUAUGCCUCUCUUUCCCACACUGCCUCCAUGAAGGGAAAGUAAGCCGGCGUCUUCCUCAUUCUCUCCGGCCACUCUCUUCCCCCAUCUCCUUCGCGCCGCCGGCGCGCGUGAAACGAACAAAUCGGUGCUUUCCCUCCUGGUCGAUCGUCGUCAACCAUGCUUUUUUGUGCGUCAAUUCUUGGGUAAAUCCUGCGAACCUGUGA